RNAcentral lists this long non-coding RNA (223 nucleotides) under Elaeis guineensis (African oil palm). RNAcentral describes it as "long non-coding RNA (EGUI_LNC000289)". Lineage: Eukaryota; Viridiplantae; Streptophyta; Magnoliopsida; Arecales; Arecaceae. The record is from RNAcentral.
AAUUACCCUUCGGAUAUUUUGUUAAUUUAUACUUGGCUCCAUUUACUUUGGUAAGUCUCAGACUGCCCAUGAAGUUACAUUUUUUGUUCCAAAUUAGCCCUUCCAUCCAUCUCUCCACCAACACUUUUGGCAAUCAUGUUCAAAUGACCAUAGUACCUUAAUAUUGUCAUCCUCACCUCGUCCCUCCCAGAUUGCCAUCCUCACUCUUGCCCAUAGCUCCACC